CGCCUCCUGCAACUAACUGAGUAUAGGAGGUCCAGCCUGCCCAGUGACUACGGGUUUAACGGCCGCGGUAUUUUGACCGUGCAAAGGUAGCGCAAUCACUUGUCUCUUAAAUAGAGACCUGUAUGAAUGGCUAGACGAGGGCUUAACUGUCUCCCCCCUUCAGUCAGUGAAAUUGAUCUAUCCGUGCAGAAGCGGGUAUACUACUACAAGACGAGAAGACCCUUUGGAGCUUAAGGUAUAAAAUUCAACCACGUUAAACGACUCUAUAAGAAGCAGGAACUUAGUGGCCGUGAAAUUUUACCUUCGGUUGGGGCGACCACGGAGUAAAAAUUAACCUCCGAGUGGACUGGGCCAAACCCCUAGAACUAAGAGAAACAUCUCUAAGCCACAGAACAUCUGACCAAUAAUGAUCCGACUACAAUAGUCGAUCAACGAACCAAGUUACCCUAGGGAUAACAGCGCAAUCCUCUCCCAGAGCCCAUAUCAACGAGAGGGUUUACGACCUCGAUGU
RNAcentral lists this ribosomal RNA (511 nucleotides) under Campostoma anomalum (central stoneroller). RNAcentral's name for it is "partial large subunit ribosomal RNA". It matches the Rfam family "Bacterial large subunit ribosomal RNA", at positions 1816 to 2532 of the family's 2925-position model. The record is from RNAcentral. Lineage: Eukaryota; Metazoa; Chordata; Actinopteri; Cypriniformes; Leuciscidae.